Long non-coding RNA from Lepisosteus oculatus (spotted gar), 887 nucleotides. RefSeq lists it as uncharacterized. Lineage: Eukaryota; Metazoa; Chordata; Actinopteri; Semionotiformes; Lepisosteidae. The record is from RefSeq and is a predicted model, not a curated record.
CAAACAUGGGGUCUGAUGGAGGCUCUCUGUGAAGAAGAUCCAGUUGAAGAGUUGUCAUCACGUUCUGGAUGUAGAAUUUGUCAUGUGUGGAGAGGACAAGACAGAAAAUUGGAGAAAAAGAAUGGUGAAUAAUAGGACAAUCUUCUGGAAGACAAGAAUUUUGAGGUCUCUUUGUCCAAAGUUGUUUCCACCUUUCAGCAGAAAUGCCAAGACUUUGUGGAAAAUAAAACAUACAGCCUCACAGAGCCAGCAUGACUCUGUGCACCUCAAAAUAAUAUACUGUAGUCAAGGUUAGUUUCCUACUGUAAAAAAGCACAUGACGCUAAUUAUACAGGCUAGAUUAAUAGACAUGGGAUUGCAGGUUGGCAACUCAUCUACUUUAAACUCUCCAGGAGCUUCUGAAUAUCUAUAGCUCUCACACAUUGUAUAUACCUAUCAUGUGUUUGUAUCAUAAUUAAGGGUUUGGGAAGAUUUAGAAUUAAAUUGGGGUUAUAUUUAGGGUUGACUAGGUGUGAGAAAGUAUUGAGCUAAUCUAUGCCAACCAUCCAAACCACCAGCAUUGGGGGUGAAGGAUAAAAUUGGAUUAAGUGAAAAUCUGCCUCAGCACUGGAUAUGAAAUCAACAAAUGAUUAAAAACAAUUUAACAUUAUCCAAGAACUCUGAAGUUUGCUGUUUUGUGUGGUCAUCAUUUUCUUUCUGCUUUAAAUAUACAGAUCUAUACUAAAGCACCCCGACAAAGGUGAACAGGACAAAAUCACAGAACAAACAUGAAUGUGCACCUGUGCAUGUUCUUUGUGUGAAGUGUAUAUGCACUGUCAAUGCAUAUGUUUUUGCACCAGGUCAAAUUCCUAGUACAUGUAAUGUACUUAGCAAAUAAAGUGAUCCUU